GACGAACGCUGGCGGCGUGCUUAACACAUGCAAGUCGAACGGGCCUGUCUUCUUUUUUGGGGGGUGGGUUGAGUGGCGAACGGGUGAGUAUCACGUGAGUAACCUGCCCUUCGGUCCUGGAUAACCGCUUGAAAGGGCGGCUAAUACGGGGUGGUCCGGUUGGUCCGCAUGGGCUGGUCGGGAUAGAUUCACUGUUUUUGGUGUUUCGGCGGGGGAUGGGCUCGCGGCCUAUCAGCUUGUUGGCGGGGUGAUGGCCUACCAAGGCGGUGACGGGUAGCCGGCCUGAGAGGGUGGGCGGCCACACUGGGACUGAGAUACGGCCCAGACUCCUGCGGGAGGCAGCAGUGGGGGGUAUUGCACAAUGGGCGGAAGCCUGAUGCAGCGACGUCGCGUGAGGGAUGGAGGCCUUCGGGUUGUGAACCUCUGUUUCCGGUGGUGAAGGCCCUGUCCGUGUGGUGGGGUUGACGGUAGCCGGGGAUGAAGCGCCGGCUAACUACGUG
This 500-nucleotide ribosomal RNA is filed under the name uncultured bacterium. RNAcentral's name for it is "partial 16S ribosomal RNA". It matches the Rfam family "Bacterial small subunit ribosomal RNA", at positions 28 to 507 of the family's 1533-position model. The record is from RNAcentral.